Molecule: ribosomal RNA, 460 nt
Filed under: uncultured bacterium
Lineage: Bacteria
Description: partial 16S ribosomal RNA
Rfam family: Bacterial small subunit ribosomal RNA
Source: RNAcentral
CCUACGGGUGGCAGCAGUGAGGAAUAUUGGUCCAUGGCCGAGAGUCUGAACCAGCCAAGUAGCGUGAAGGAUGACUGCCCUAUGGGUUGUAAACUUCUUUUAUAUGGGAAUAAAAUGUUCCACGUGUGGGAUUUUGUAUGUACCAUAUGAAUAAGGAUCGGCUAACUCCGUGCCAGCAGCCGCGGUAAUACGGAGGAUCCGAGCAUUAUCCGGAUUUAUUGGGUUUAAAGGGAGCGUAGGUGGAUUGUUAAGUCAGUUGUGAAAGUUUGCGGCUCAACCGUAAAAUUGCAGUUGAAACUGGCAGUCUUGAGUACAGUAGAGGUGGGCGGAAUUCGUGGUGGAGCGGUGAAAUGGUUAGAUAUCACGAAGAACUCCGAUUGCGAAGGCAGUUCACUGGACUGCAACUGACACUGAGGCUCGAAAGUGUGGGUAUCAAACAGGAUUAGAUACCCGAGUAGUC